This 719-nucleotide ribosomal RNA is filed under the name uncultured bacterium. RNAcentral's name for it is "bacterial SSU rRNA". It matches the Rfam family "Bacterial small subunit ribosomal RNA", at positions 211 to 922 of the family's 1533-position model. The record is from RNAcentral.
CCUGGCGCUUUUUGAGGAGCCCGCGGCCUAUCAGCUAGUUGGUGAGGUAGCGGCUCACCAAGGCUAUGACGGGUAGCUGGUCUGAGAGGACGACCAGUCACACUGGAACUGAGACACGGUCCAGACACCUACGGGUGGCAGCAGUCGAGAAUUUUUCUCAAUGGGGGCAACCCUGAAGGAGCGACGCCGCGUGGAGGAUGAAGGCUUUCGGGCUGUAAACUCCUGUCAUUUGAGAACAAGUGUGGCCAAGUAACUACUGGCUACUUGAUAGUAUCAGAAGAGGAAGAGACGGCUAACUCUGUGCCAGCAGCCGCGGUAAUACAGAGGUCUCAAGCGUUGUUCGGAUUCAUUGGGCGUAAAGGGUGCGUAGGUGGCGGGGUAAGUCAGGUGUGAAAUUUCGGAGCUUAACUCCGAAACUGCAUUUGAUACUGCCUUGCUUGAGGACUGGAGAGGAGACUGGAAUUUACGGUGUAGCAGUGAAAUGCGUAGAGAUCGUAAGGAAGACCAGUGGCGAAGGCGGGUCUCUGGACAGUUCCUGACACUGAGGCACGAAGGCCAGGGGAGCAAACGGGAUUAGAUACCCCGGUAGUCCUGGCAGUAAACGGUGCACGUUUGGUGUGGGGGGAUUCGACCCCUUCCGCGCCGGAGCUAACGCGUUAAACGUGCCGCCUGGGGAGUACGGUCGCAAGAUUAAAACUCAAAGGAAUUGACGGAAUCGA